AUUACUGGUGAAUUAACUUCAGCAGCUGAACUUUUGACGAGAAGUGUUUUAAGUGGCUGCUUUUUUGCGCGACCACACCCACGCUAUACUCCUCUGUCUUUUUCAAAAUGCAGAAAGGGCCGACCAACUAUUAACAAAUUUUAAGUAUUAAAAAAAUUUUUAAAAAA
This is a long non-coding RNA of Pomacea canaliculata, 167 nucleotides long. RefSeq lists it as uncharacterized. The record is from RefSeq and is a predicted model, not a curated record. The transcript is spliced from 3 exons. Lineage: Eukaryota; Metazoa; Mollusca; Gastropoda; Architaenioglossa; Ampullariidae.